Molecule: ribosomal RNA, 493 nt
Filed under: Salmonella enterica subsp. enterica
Lineage: Bacteria; Pseudomonadati; Pseudomonadota; Gammaproteobacteria; Enterobacterales; Enterobacteriaceae
Description: partial 23S ribosomal RNA
Rfam family: Bacterial large subunit ribosomal RNA
Source: RNAcentral
UGUGAGGGUUGCUGGAGGUAUCAGAAGUGCGAAUGCUGACAUAAGUAACGAUAAAGCGGGUGAAAAGCCCGCUCGCCGGAAGACCAAGGGUUCCUGUCCAACGUUAAUCGGGGCAGGGUGAGUCGACCCCUAAGGCGAGGCCGAAAGGCGUAGUCGAUGGGAAACGGGUUAAUAUUCCCGUACUUGGUGUUACUGCGAAGGGGGGACGGAGAAGGCUAUGUUGGCCGGGCGACGGUUGUCCCGGUUUAAGCGUGUAGGCUGGUUUUCCAGGCAAAUCCGGAAAAUCAAGGCUGAGGCGUGAUGACGAGGCACUACGGUGCUGAAGCAACAAAUGCCCUGCUUCCAGGAAAAGCCUCUAAGCAUCAGGUAACAUCAAAUCGUACCCCAAACCGACACAGGUGGUCAGGUAGAGAAUACCAAGGCGCUUGAGAGAACUCGGGUGAAGGAACUAGGCAAAAUGGUGCCGUAACUUCGGGAGAAGGCACGCUGACAC